ACGCUGGCGGCAGGCCUAACACAUGCAAGUCGAGCGGUAGAGAGAAGCUUGCUUCUCUUGAGAGCGGCGGACGGGUGAGUAAUGCCUAGGAAUCUGCCUGGUAGUGGGGGAUAACGUCCGGAAACGGACGCUAAUACCGCAUACGUCCUACGGGAGAAAGCAGGGGACCUUCGGGCCUUGCGCUAUCAGAUGAGCCUAGGUCGGAUUAGCUAGUUGGUGGGGUAAUGGCUCACCAAGGCGACGAUCCGUAACUGGUCUGAGAGGAUGAUCAGUCACACUGGAACUGAGACACGGUCCAGACUCCUACGGGAGGCAGCAGUGGGGAAUAUUGGACAAUGGGCGAAAGCCUGAUCCAGCCAUGCCGCGUGUGUGAAGAAGGUCUUCGGAUUGUAAAGCACUUUAAGUUGGGAGGAAGGGCAGUUACCUAAUACGUGAUUGUUUUGACGUUACCGACAGAAUAAGCACCGGCUAACUCUGUGCCAGCAGCCGCGGUAAUACAGAGGGUGCAAGCGUUAAUCGGAAUUACUGGGCGUAAAGCGCGCGUAGGUGGUUCGUUAAGUUGGAUGUGAAAUCCCCGGGCUCAACCUGGGAACUGCAUUCAAACUGACGAGCU
Molecule: ribosomal RNA, 613 nt
Filed under: uncultured bacterium
Lineage: Bacteria
Description: bacterial SSU rRNA
Rfam family: Bacterial small subunit ribosomal RNA
Source: RNAcentral